RNAcentral lists this ribosomal RNA (253 nucleotides) under uncultured bacterium. RNAcentral describes it as "partial 16S ribosomal RNA". It matches the Rfam family "Bacterial small subunit ribosomal RNA", at positions 524 to 776 of the family's 1533-position model. The record is from RNAcentral.
UACAGAGGGGGCAAGCGUUAUUCGGAAUUAUUGGGCGUAAAGGGCUCGUAGGCGGCCAACUAAGUCGGAUGUGAAAUCCCCAGGCUUAACCUGGGAACUGCAUCCGAUACUGGAUGGCUUGAAUUCGGGAGAGGGAUGCAGAAUUCCAGGUGUAGCGGUGAAAUGCGUAGAUAUCUGGAGGAAUACCGGUGGCGAAGGCGGCAUCCUGGACCGAGAUUGACGCUGAUGAGCGAAAGCUAGGGGAGCAAACGGG